CAAAAAUACUAUAUUUUUUCUGUAAAAAGGGAAAAAUAGAAAAAAAAUA
Molecule: non-coding RNA, 49 nt
Organism: Heterocephalus glaber (naked mole-rat)
Lineage: Eukaryota; Metazoa; Chordata; Mammalia; Rodentia; Bathyergidae
Source: Rfam